Molecule: ribosomal RNA, 429 nt
Filed under: Acidobacteriota bacterium
Lineage: Bacteria; Pseudomonadati; Acidobacteriota
Description: Acidobacteria bacterium partial 16S ribosomal RNA
Rfam family: Bacterial small subunit ribosomal RNA
Source: RNAcentral
UGGGGAAUUUUGGACAAUGGGCGCAAGCCUGAUCCAGCAAUGCCGCGUGUGUGAAGAAGGCCUUCGGGUUGUAAAGCACUUUUGUCUGGAAAGAAAACCUCGUGGUUAAUACCCGUGGGGGAUGACGGUACCGGAAGAAUAAGCACCGGCUAACUACGUGCCAGCAGCCGCGGUAAUACGUAGGGUGCAAGCGUUAAUCGGAAUUACUGGGCGUAAAGCGUGCGCAGGCGGUUCGCUAAGACAGAUGUGAAAUCCCCGGGCUUAACCUGGGAACUGCAUUUGUGACUGGCGGGCUAGAGUAUGGGAGAGGGGGGUAGAAGUCCACGUGUAGCAGUGAAAUGCGUAGAGAUGGGGAGGAAUACCGAUGGCGAAGGCAGCUCCCUGGGCCAAUACUGACGCUCAUGCAAGAAAGCGUGGGGAGCAAACAGG